Molecule: ribosomal RNA, 1438 nt
Filed under: uncultured organism
Description: SSU rRNA
Rfam family: Bacterial small subunit ribosomal RNA
Source: RNAcentral
CUUAACACAUGCAAGUCGAGGGGCAUCAGGAAGAAAGCUUGCUUUCUUUGCUGGCGACCGGCGCACGGGUGAGUAACACGUAUCCAACCUGCCCUUUACUCGGGGAUAGCCUUUCGAAAGAAAGAUUAAUACCCGAUGGCAUAAUGAUUCCGCAUGGUUUCAUUAUUAAAGGAUUCCGGUAAAGGAUGGGGAUGCGUUCCAUUAGGUUGUUGGUGAGGUAACGGCUCACCAAGCCUUCGAUGGAUAGGGGUUCUGAGAGGAAGGUCCCCCACAUUGGAACUGAGACACGGUCCAAACUCCUACGGGAGGCAGCAGUGAGGAAUAUUGGUCAAUGGGCGCUAGCCUGAACCAGCCAAGUAGCGUGAAGGAUGAAGGCUCUAUGGGUCGUAAACUUCUUUUAUAUAAGAAUAAAGUGCAGUAUGUAUACUGUUUUGUAUGUAUUAUAUGAAUAAGGAUCGGCUAACUCCGUGCCAGCAGCCGCGGUAAUACGGAGGAUCCGAGCGUUAUCCGGAUUUAUUGGGUUUAAAGGGAGCGUAGGUGGACUGGUAAGUCAGUUGUGAAAGUUUGCGGCUCAACCGUAAAAUUGCAGUUGAUACUGUCAGUCUUGAGUACAGUAGAGGUGGGCGGAAUUCGUGGUGUAGCGGUGAAAUGCUUAGAUAUCACGAAGAACUCCGAUUGCGAAGGCAGCUCACUGGACUGCAACUGACACUGAUGCUCGAAAGUGUGGGUAUCAAACAGGAUUAGAUACCCUGGUAGUCCACACAGUAAACGAUGAAUACUCGCUGUUUGCGAUAUACAGUAAGCGGCCAAGCGAAAGCAUUAAGUAUUCCACCUGGGGAGUACGCCGGCAACGGUGAAACUCAAAGGAAUUGACGGGGGCCCGCACAAGCGGAGGAACAUGUGGUUUAAUUCGAUGAUACGCGAGGAACCUUACCCGGGCUUAAAUUGCAGUGGAAUGAUGUGGAAACAUGUCAGUGAGCAAUCACCGCUGUGAAGGUGCUGCAUGGUUGUCGUCAGCUCGUGCCGUGAGGUGUCGGCUUAAGUGCCAUAACGAGCGCAACCCUUAUCUUUAGUUACUAACAGGUUAUGCUGAGGACUCUAGAGAGACUGCCGUCGUAAGAUGUGAGGAAGGUGGGGAUGACGUCAAAUCAGCACGGCCCUUACGUCCGGGGCUACACACGUGUUACAAUGGGGGGUACAGAAGGCAGCUAGCGGGUGACCGUAUGCUAAUCCCAAAAGCCUCUCUCAGUUCGGAUCGAAGUCUGCAACCCGACUUCGUGAAGCUGGAUUCGCUAGUAAUCGCGCAUCAGCCACGGCGCGGUGAAUACGUUCCCGGGCCUUGUACACACCGCCCGUCAAGCCAUGGGAGCCGGGGGUACCUGAAGUACGUAACCGCAAGGAUCGUCCUAGGGUAAAACUGGUGACUGGGGCUAAGUCA